UGUAGUCAUAUGCUUGUCUCAAAGAUUAAGCCAUGCAUGUCUAAGUAUAAGCAAUUUGUACUGUGAAACUGCGAAUGGCUCAUUAAAUCAGUUAUCGUUUAUUUGAUAGUACCUUACUACAUGGAUACCUGUGGUAAUUCUAGAGCUAAUACAUGCUAAAAACCUCGACUUCGGAAGGGGUGUAUUUAUUAGAUAAAAAACCAACGCCCUUCGGGGCUCCUUGGUGAAUCAUAAUAACUAAGCGAAUCGCAUGGCCUUGCGCCGGCGAUGGUUCAUUCAAAUUUCUGCCCUAUCAACUUUCGAUGGUAAGAUAGUGGCUUACCAUGGUGGCAACGGGUAACGGGGAAUUAGGGUUCGAUUCCGGAGAGGGAGCCUGAGAAACGGCUACCACAUCCAAGGAAGGCAGCAGGCGCGCAAAUUACCCAAUCCCGACACGGGGAGGUAGUGACAAUAAAUACUGAUACGGGGCUCUUUUGGGUCUCGUAAUUGGAAUGAGUACAAUCUAAAUCCCUUAACGAGGAACAAUUGGAGGGCAAGUCUGGUGCCAGCAGCCGCGGUAAUUCCAGCUCCAAUAGCGUAUAUUAAAGUUGUUGCAGUUAAAAAGCUCGUAGUUGAACCUUGGGUCUGGCUGACCGGUCCGCCUCACCGCGAGUACUGGCUCGGCUGGACCUUUCCUUCUGGGGAACCUCAUGGCCUUCACUGGCUGUGGGGGGAACCAGGACUUUUACUGUGAAAAAAUUAGAGUGUUCAAAGCAGGCCUUUGCUCGAAUACAUUAGCAUGGAAUAAUAGAAUAGGACGUGCGGUUCUAUUUUGUUGGUUUCUAGGACCGCCGUAAUGAUUAAUAGGGAUAGUCGGGGGCGUCAGUAUUCAGCUGUCAGAGGUGAAAUUCUUGGAUUUGCUGAAGACUAACUACUGCGAAAGCAUUCGCCAAGGAUGUUUUCAUUAAUCAGGGAACGAAAGUUAGGGGAUCGAAGACGAUCAGAUACCGUCGUAGUCUUAACCAUAAACUAUGCCGACUAGGGAUCA
Molecule: ribosomal RNA, 1027 nt
Filed under: uncultured Aspergillus
Lineage: Eukaryota; Fungi; Ascomycota; Eurotiomycetes; Eurotiales; Aspergillaceae
Description: SSU rRNA
Rfam family: Eukaryotic small subunit ribosomal RNA
Source: RNAcentral